Molecule: long non-coding RNA, 1315 nt
Organism: Cyprinus carpio carpio
Lineage: Eukaryota; Metazoa; Chordata; Actinopteri; Cypriniformes; Cyprinidae
Source: Ensembl
GCAUAAUUAAAUAAUUAAAUGCAUCAAAAAAUUCAUAAAUAAAUGUUUGUUUGUUUAUUUAUUUAUUUAUUGCCUCCACAUUUCAUUUUCAGGGUAACGGUUGUCGGCACGUUACUCAACAAAAGUGGGCAUCACCCUUCAAACUGGAUUACUUUUGUCUUUCUAGUUUAGGCGCCUUUUUCUUGUUUUUGCAUCAUGAGCUAUGGCUGUUUGGCAUUCCAUAGUAAUGUACAUCAGUGAGAUCUUUAUAAAAUUAUAGCAGACUACUUACAUAAAAUGAUACACUGUUUUUCUCAAUUGAUUUGACACAUUUAUCCAAACUAUGUCUGUGUUCUCAAAACAGUUUACACAGUGAUCUGAACACUUUGUAAUUGUCCUAAACAGAUUGUAAGUUUUCAUUCAAUUCAUAAAAAUUACAAAUCAUGCGAAUAAUUUUCUAAAAACACUGUGCACAAAACUCUCAGAUCUUUUCAUGAUCGUUGAACAAACCAAUACACAAAUCACACAAAUCACAAACAUUUAAGUACCAUUUGUCCAAACACAACAAACAAAGAAAAGGUAAAGAAAAAGGUGUAAGUCCAAAAGGUUGUGGAGUGGGUAGAGAAAUUGGUGUAAUGACAGAGAGAAGAAGAAUGGAACAGGUAAAAAGAGAUGAGCAGGGGGGAGGAUGUAAAAAAACAGGAAAGGAAUGGAGAGGCCUCACUUUGCUGAAUAAACAGCUUUUUAAAGGAAACAGCUUAUCAUUUAAUGAAUAGACAGCCUAUUGGCUAAUCUUCAACAUGUUUUACAUUAAACAAUAGUUUUGGAUUGAACUAUUUUUAGAGUUUAAAUGUAUCCUUGUGGCGCGGCUGACACAGAAGAGCAUAAGCUGCCUGCGUACAGCUCAGAUUCGCCAAAAUGGCACUACGCUUAUGUGGAGUGACACGGAGGGGACAAAUUGUUGAAUUGUUGAAAGUCUUUUUUUUUUCGCGUACAAAAAGUAUUCUUGUCGUUUCAUAACAUUACGGUUGAACCACUGAUGGCAGAUCGACAAUUCUGACGAUGCUUUUCAUACUUUUCUGGAACAUGAAAGUGUAUUUUACUUGGCAGUCUAUGGGACAGUCACAAGCCUCCCGGUUUUCAUACAAAAUAUCUUAAAUUGUGUUCUGAAGCUGAACAAAGCCUUAAUGGAUUUGGAACGACAUGGGGCAUGACAAUCUCUGGUGGAGUAGAUGGUAUUGUCGUAGAGGGAAGAGCAAGAGGGAAACUGUAAGAAGACAUAAACAGAGAUGAAGUGGACAGAAGGGUGGAAGGAGAGCUAGAAGGUACAGACAAA